RNAcentral lists this ribosomal RNA (497 nucleotides) under uncultured bacterium. Its description in RNAcentral is "partial 16S ribosomal RNA". It matches the Rfam family "Bacterial small subunit ribosomal RNA", at positions 28 to 507 of the family's 1533-position model. The record is from RNAcentral.
GAUGAACGCUGGCGGCGUGCCUAAUACAUGCAAGUCGAGCGAACGGACGAGAAGCUUGCUUCUCUGAUGUUAGCGGCGGACGGGUGAGUAACACGUGGAUAACCUACCUAUAAGACUGGGAUAACUUCGGGAAACCGGAGCUAAUACCGGAUAAUAUUUUGAACCGCAUGGUUCAAAAGUGAAAGACGGUCUUGCUGUCACUUAUAGAUGGAUCCGGGCUGCAUUGGCUAGUUGGUAAGGUAACGGCUUACCAAGGCAACGAUGCAUAGCCGACCUGAGAGGGUGAUCGGCCACACUGGAACUGAGACACGGUCCAGACUCCUACGGGAGGCAGCAGUAGGGAAUCUUCCGCAAUGGGCGAAAGCCUGACGGAGCAACGCCGCGUGAGUGAUGAAGGUCUUCGGAUCGUAAAACUCUGUUAUUAGGGAAGAACAUAUGUGUAAGUAACUGUGCACAUCUUGACGGUACCUAAUCAGAAAGCCACGGCUAACUACGUG